This 497-nucleotide ribosomal RNA is filed under the name uncultured bacterium. RNAcentral's name for it is "partial 16S ribosomal RNA". It matches the Rfam family "Bacterial small subunit ribosomal RNA", at positions 28 to 507 of the family's 1533-position model. The record is from RNAcentral.
GAUGAGCGCUGGCGGCGUGCCUAAUACAUGCAAGUCGAGCGAACAGACGAGGAGCUUGCUCCUCUGACGUUAGCGGCGGACGUGUGAGUAACACGUGGAUAACCUACCUAUAAUACUGGUAUAACUUCGGGAAACCGGAGCUAAUACCGGAUAAGAUAUUGAACCGCAUGGGUCAAUGGUGAAAGACGGCUUUUCUGUCACGUAUAGAGGGAUCCGCGCCGUAUGAGCUAGUAGGUAAGGUAACGGCUUACCAAGGCAAGGAGGCGUAGGCGAGGUGAGAGGGUGAUCGGCCACCCUGGAACUGGGACACGCUCCAGACUCCUACGGGAGGCAGCAGUAGGGAACGUGCCGCAAUGGGCGAAAGCCUUACGGAGCAACGCCGCGUGAGUGAUGGAGGUCUUCGGAUCGUAAAACUCUGUUAUUAGGGAAGAACAAAUGUGUAAGUAAAUAUGCACGUCUUGACGGUAACUAAUCAGAAAGCAACGGCUAACUACGUG